RNAcentral lists this ribosomal RNA (1503 nucleotides) under Klebsiella pneumoniae. Its description in RNAcentral is "bacterial SSU rRNA". It matches the Rfam family "Bacterial small subunit ribosomal RNA". The record is from RNAcentral. Lineage: Bacteria; Pseudomonadati; Pseudomonadota; Gammaproteobacteria; Enterobacterales; Enterobacteriaceae.
AGAGUUUGAUCCUGGCUCAGAUUGAACGCUGGCGGCAGGCCUAACACAUGCAAGUCGAGCGGUAGCACAGAGAGCUUGCUCUCGGGUGACGAGCGGCGGACGGGUGAGUAAUGUCUGGGAAACUGCCUGAUGGAGGGGGAUAACUACUGGAAACGGUAGCUAAUACCGCAUAACGUCGCAAGACCAAAGUGGGGGACCUUCGGGCCUCAUGCCAUCAGAUGUGCCCAGAUGGGAUUAGCUAGUAGGUGGGGUAACGGCUCACCUAGGCGACGAUCCCUAGCUGGUCUGAGAGGAUGACCAGCCACACUGGAACUGAGACACGGUCCAGACUCCUACGGGAGGCAGCAGUGGGGAAUAUUGCACAAUGGGCGCAAGCCUGAUGCAGCCAUGCCGCGUGUGUGAAGAAGGCCUUCGGGUUGUAAAGCACUUUCAGCGGGGAGGAAGGCGUUAAGGUUAAUAACCUUGGCGAUUGACGUUACCCGCAGAAGAAGCACCGGCUAACUCCGUGCCAGCAGCCGCGGUAAUACGGAGGGUGCAAGCGUUAAUCGGAAUUACUGGGCGUAAAGCGCACGCAGGCGGUCUGUCAAGUCGGAUGUGAAAUCCCCGGGCUCAACGUGGGAACUGCAUUCGAAACUGGCAGGCUAGAGUCUUGUAGAGGGGGGUAGAAUUCCAGGUGUAGCGGUGAAAUGCGUAGAGAUCUGGAGGAAUACCGGUGGCGAAGGCGGCCCCCUGGACAAAGACUGACGCUCAGGUGCGAAAGCGUGGGGAGCAAACAGGAUUAGAUACCCUGGUAGUCCACGCCGUAAACGAUGUCGAUUUGGAGGUUGUGCCCUUGAGGCGUGGCUUCCGGAGCUAACGCGUUAAAUCGACCGCCUGGGGAGUACGGCCGCAAGGUUAAAACUCAAAUGAAUUGACGGGGGCCCGCACAAGCGGUGGAGCAUGUGGUUUAAUUCGAUGCAACGCGAAGAACCUUACCUGGUCUUGACAUCCACAGAACUUUCCAGAGAUGGAUUGGUGCCUUCGGGAACUGUGAGACAGGUGCUGCAUGGCUGUCGUCAGCUCGUGUUGUGAAAUGUUGGGUUAAGUCCCGCAACGAGCGCAACCCUUAUCCUUUGUUGCCAGCGGUUCGGCCGGGAACUCAAAGGAGACUGCCAGUGAUAAACUGGAGGAAGGUGGGGAUGACGUCAAGUCAUCAUGGCCCUUACGACCAGGGCUACACACGUGCUACAAUGGCAUAUACAAAGAGAAGCGACCUCGCGAGAGCAAGCGGACCUCAUAAAGUAUGUCGUAGUCCGGAUUGGAGUCUGCAACUCGACUCCAUGAAGUCGGAAUCGCUAGUAAUCGUAGAUCAGAAUGCUACGGUGAAUACGUUCCCGGGCCUUGUACACACCGCCCGUCACACCAUGGGAGUGGGUUGCAAAAGAAGUAGGUAGCUUAACCUUCGGGAGGGCGCUUACCACUUUGUGAUUCAUGACUGGGGUGAAGUCGUAACAAGGUAACCGU